Molecule: ribosomal RNA, 486 nt
Filed under: uncultured bacterium
Lineage: Bacteria
Description: bacterial SSU rRNA
Rfam family: Bacterial small subunit ribosomal RNA
Source: RNAcentral
AUUGAACGCUGGCGGAAUGCUUUACACAUGCAAGUCGAGCGGCAGCGCGGGGCAACCUGGCGGCGAGCGGCGAACGGGUGAGUAAUACAUCGGAACGUGCCCAGACGUGGGGGAUAACUACUCGAAAGAGUGGCUAAUACCGCAUACGAUCUACGGAUGAAAGCGGGGGAUCGCAAGACCUCGCGCGUCUGGAGCGGCUGAUGGCAGAUUAGGUAGUUGGUGGGAUAAAAGCCUACCAAGCCAACGAUCUGUAGCUGGUCUGAGAGGAUGAUCAGCCACACUGGGACUGAGACACGGCCCAGACUCCUACGGGAGGCAGCAGUGGGGAAUUUUGGACAAUGGGCGAAAGCCUGAUCCAGCCAUUCCGCGUGCAGGAUGAAGGCCCUCGGGUUGUAAACUGCUUUUGUACAGAACGAAAAGACUCUGGCUAAUACCUGGAGUCCAUGACGGUACUGUAAGAAUAAGCACCGGCUAACUACGUGCCAG